UUUGCCUGGCCAUACCUGCUUGUCAAAGCCUGAUCUCGUCAGAUCUCAGAGGGUAAGCAAGGUUGGGCCUGGUUAGUACUUGGAUGGCAGACCUCAUGGAAAAUCAGGUGCCCGUAGCAAAA
RNAcentral lists this ribosomal RNA (122 nucleotides) under Periophthalmus magnuspinnatus. The record is from RNAcentral. Lineage: Eukaryota; Metazoa; Chordata; Actinopteri; Gobiiformes; Gobiidae.